AAAUGUUCCCUUUUUCCAUUGCUUUUAAUCUCCCUGCAACUUGAGAACACACCAAUCCAACAACCAGAUUUACACACAUUUUUACAAUGACUUUAUCCGGGUGUUUAACGUUUCUCAUGCUAUCAGUUUCUGUGGUGCGCAGUCAGACUCUGACUGAGUCUGAA
This is a non-coding RNA of Labrus bergylta (ballan wrasse), 164 nucleotides long. Lineage: Eukaryota; Metazoa; Chordata; Actinopteri; Labriformes; Labridae. The record is from RefSeq and is a predicted model, not a curated record.